Passer domesticus (house sparrow) is the source of this 2399-nucleotide long non-coding RNA. RefSeq lists it as uncharacterized. NCBI's taxonomy places the organism in Eukaryota, Metazoa, Chordata, Aves, Passeriformes, Passeridae. The record is from RefSeq and is a predicted model, not a curated record. The transcript is spliced from 3 exons.
CAGCUUUGAGUUCCAGCUGCAACCAGGAACCAACACCAAAACAGACUGGGAAGCUCUGGCUGCUUUCAGCAAAUAGGAGCAGGUUCUGGUGCUUCCUGUAAGACACAAAACUGACUGGAGCAGGCCAGAGCACGUCUUGAAAGCUCCUGAGACUUGUCACAAACUUUCACUGAUAAGCUGUUAAUUACUCCUUUGCUGUUGUCAUGUUGUCCUCACUACAAUUCUGUUAUGAAUUGGUUGCAGAGAAAGAACUCAUUUUCUCCCAAGCUCUGUGUGUAUCAUCAAGGCAAGCAGUGAGUCAACAUCAGAGCAAAUUUGACUUCAGUGGUUUUGUGGUUUAACCCUCUGCAAGGUGCAUCUGCUGCUUUCCAGUCCUCAGCACAGGACCACUGUUCUCUGCAUUACCAACUGCCCAGAGCUGUGCUUUUUCUACCCACAGUAAAGUUCUAACCUACAAACAUGUCCAUGAAAACUGGAGGAGCUCCAUGGAAACUAAGGCACAACUCCAGCCGUUCCCUCGGGUCCUGUCACACCAGAAGAGAUCGGUGCUGCCCCUCCACUGCCCCUCCCGAGGGAGCUGCAGCCCACGGGGAGCUCUGCCCUCAAUCUCCCCUCCAGGCGGAACAAGCCAAGUGCCCUCAGCUGCUCCUCAUAAAGCUUUCCCUCUAUUUACCAUUUAAAUAAUAGUGCACAAACACUGGGUGUUAUCCUUUUCCCUUUGGAGUCAGCAGAGAGUCCUUCCCCCUUUUAUUCUUUGUAGAAAAAUGUGUGUUCACUUUUCCCCUACAGUCAGUCAUGAGAUACUCAAGUUCCAUUGUCAUUUUACACUGCUGGAUUAAACAAGGUAGGGGUGCAGAGAAAAGUGAUUUGUGCAAGUUUACAUGUAAAGCUGGCAUGAGAAAUACUGUCUUGCAGCUCUGGAUGAGUUAUUAUUGCAUUUAUCAUUAUUACAUAUGUUACCACUUAUAUUUGCAUCAUUACCUGAUCAAAAGAAACAAAAGCAAUAAUAAAAUCUGUCAGCCAAAGUUGCACAUUUCAUCUGGGUCUGGGAAUUCACCACAUAGAUUGCUAGGCCUGGUUUUCACUCCAGUAUGCUGUGCUUUAGAGACUUGGUACAUUUUUAAUCAAUCAAACUCCAUCUGGCUUAUCACAACACUCCUAAUUCAAGAUGUAACAUAAAUACACAAUUUAAAUGUUAAUCUUUAGAACAGACAGAAAUUCAGGUUUACAGUUAAUGAUCUACUUCCACAGAAUAUUUCUUCCUUUCAAAAAUAUGUUUUGAGACCUUUAAAAAUACAGAGAUAAUUAUGAACUUAAUCUAUAGUUUUAGGUUUUCUAACCUCAGGCUCUGUGGAAUAACUGAAAUCAUUAAGUUCUACUGUACAUUUGUAUCUGGGUGAGGAAAGAUUCCAACCAAGUGUCCUGGGCUCCAAAACAUACCCUAUGCCAUCUGAGUACCCACACAGUGUUUGUGUGUGUCUUUAUUCAGCCAAGAAAAAGCAUGUGCAUACAUACAAUUUUAAGUUUAAUUUGCUAUACUUACCUAGGCUACCAUGCAAUAGCAAUGUUGCUAUGGGAACAGGUUUUCAGAAAAGUAGAUCACACAUGACAGGCAGCACACUUUUGGAUGUUUUUUGUAUAUAUUAUGCCAGGGUGAAUAGCAAGCAUAUCAAAGUAAAGGCUAACUUUAAGUCAUGUAUGCCCUGACCUACAAUGAGAUUCCAUUGAUCAUUUUGAAUUAUAUUUUUUUAAGGAUUCUACAAAGCACUAGUUGUUUCCAGGUGUGUGAGAAUUCUUUUCCCUCAUCCUUAUGUACUUUACAUUUAAUUUGUAAUUUCCUAUCUUCCUAUCAUGUCCUCCCCUUUUACUUUUAUUUUUGCCCGAAUAUAUUCAUAAUGCUCAUUUACUCAUUCAUUCUUCCUGCCCAUUAUAUUCAUCUUUCUUUCUUUUUUCACUCUUUCUCUCUCUGUCUCUGGAUUUUGCAGUCUCCCUUUACUCACAGUGUUAACCCCAGACAAAACACUCAGCAUUUGCUCUGACACGAGGGCCAGCAGACACCCAGAGCCAUGAUAACAAUACUUAGAGUGGCAUUUUGUCAUUCAACAAAAUGGAAUAUGUAUUUCUUCCUUCCACCUCCUCAAGAGAAAAGAGGAAGAGUCACUUCUGCUUUUUGUUUUAUGCAUUAAAAAAACUAUGGCAAAAUGACAUACACUUUCAUUUGUUCUUUCAAAAUCUCUUAAUAAAUCCAUUUUUCAGAGUUUAUUUCCUACUGUGCAGAGUAGCAGGUAUGAUGUUUUCUGUAAACUGAUGAUAUAACCUUUACAUCCUAGCUGAGAAUUUCCAAAACAUCCCCAAAUCUUUAAAAUGAAAGGUAACACAAGCAGCCAGCUGAAGAACAG